GACACGACUCUCGGCAAUGGAUAUCUCG
Molecule: ribosomal RNA, 28 nt
Filed under: Rossioglossum schlieperianum
Lineage: Eukaryota; Viridiplantae; Streptophyta; Magnoliopsida; Asparagales; Orchidaceae
Description: partial 5.8S ribosomal RNA
Source: RNAcentral